CGCGUGGUCUAGACCGUCCCGUUCCCUCGCCCUCGGGGACCUGAGGACACUGAGGCGAGGCGCCCUUCAACCCUAGGCACCGGGGACCCAGGGACUCGGGAAGCAGCUCCAUUCCCGUGGCGACAGGAAUAGGGUCCCUGCCCAGCACCUCCUCCCGCAGCUCCAGGUGGGCUGGCUCCGUAGUCUCAGGCCCCUCACAGGUCACCUGCCGCAGCCAGGAUGCUAGGAGUUUGAGGCGAGGGUUCAAGGCUCUUGUGGGGGAUGGAGGUGGGUGUGGGCGUGUCUCCUCCAGGGCUCUAGAACUCCUUGACAUUCUGCAGUCACCCAGGGAAACAGAGGCAGAACGAAAAGUUCCUCAGCCGAGCCCUGCGUUUCAAUUCGGACUUGGUGACCAGAGAGAUGUGGUCCUUACCCUCACAGCUGUCACACUCUUCCACCACCCAGCUUUUCCGGGUUAUUCCAAAGAGGAAAGCUAAGGGAGUCAAAACAGACAAGAAACUAGCAAACCAACUUUGACUUCCUUGGCAAAGCUCGACAGACCUCGGUUCAGUGUGGAGUCAAGAGCGAUCCUUUGACAACGCUGAAGUGGGGGUACCUCCCUUGCGGUGGAUUGAGGAUUUAUUUCACUUUAUGUGUGUGAAUGUUUUGCCUGCAUGGAUGUGCACCAGCUGCAUGCAGUGCUCGUGAAGACCAGAAGAGGGCGCUGGAUUUCCUGGAACUGGAGAAGCUCUGAAAGGCAGGUGUAAUCCGAUGGUGCCUCUGCUGGCUGGUGUUGACAUGAGCUUGACAGAAGCUGGAGUCAGCGGUGUUUUCCCCUUUGAGAAAAUACCUCCAUAUGAUCUGGCUUCAGGCAGACCUGUAAGGCGUUGUCUUAAUUAGUGACUGAUGGGAGAGGACCCAGCCUACGGUAGGUGGUGCCAUCCUGGGCUGGAGGUCCUGGGUUCUAUAAGAAAGCAGUGUGAACAAGCCAGCAAACAGCACCUCUCCAUGGCCUCUGUAUCAGCUCCUGCUUCUGGGUUCCCACCCAGUUUGAGUUCCUGCCUUGGCUUUCCCCGGUGGACUGUGAUCCAAGAUAUGUAAGCCAAAUAAACCCUUUCCUCCCCAA
Molecule: long non-coding RNA, 1105 nt
Organism: Mesocricetus auratus (golden hamster)
Lineage: Eukaryota; Metazoa; Chordata; Mammalia; Rodentia; Cricetidae
Exons: 3
Source: RefSeq, a predicted model, not a curated record